This 447-nucleotide ribosomal RNA is filed under the name Arthrobacter sp. m6-1. Its description in RNAcentral is "bacterial SSU rRNA". It matches the Rfam family "Bacterial small subunit ribosomal RNA", at positions 1023 to 1463 of the family's 1533-position model. Lineage: Bacteria; Bacillati; Actinomycetota; Actinomycetes; Micrococcales; Micrococcaceae. The record is from RNAcentral.
GCGGUCGGUUUACAGGUGGUGCAUGGUUGUCGUCAGCUCGUGUCGUGAGAUGUUGGGUUAAGUCCCGCAACGAGCGCAACCCUCGUUCUAUGUUGCCAGCACGUGAUGGUGGGGACUCAUAGGAGACUGCCGGGGUCAACUCGGAGGAAGGUGGGGACGACGUCAAAUCAUCAUGCCCCUUAUGUCUUGGGCUUCACGCAUGCUACAAUGGCCGGUACAAAGGGUUGCGAUACUGUGAGGUGGAGCUAAUCCCAAAAAGCCGGUCUCAGUUCGGAUUGGGGUCUGCAACUCGACCCCAUGAAGUCGGAGUCGCUAGUAAUCGCAGAUCAGCAACGCUGCGGUGAAUACGUUCCCGGGCCUUGUACACACCGCCCGUCAAGUCACGAAAGUUGGUAACACCCGAAGCCGGUGGCCUAACCCCUGGUGGGAGGGAGCUGUCGAACCGGG